UGGAGAGUUUGAUCCUGGCUCAGGACGAACGCUGGCGGCGUGCUUAACACAUGCAAGUCGAGCGGUAAGGCCCUUCGGGGUACACGAGCGGCGAACGGGUGAGUAACACGUGGGUGAUCUGCCUUGCACUCUGGGAUAAGCCUGGGAAACUGGGUCUAAUACCGGAUAUGAGCCUGAACUGCAUGGUUCGGGUUGGAAAGAUUUAUCGGUGCGAGAUGGGCCCGCGGCCUAUCAGCUUGUUGGUGAGGUAACGGCUCACCAAGGCGACGACGGGUAGCCGGCCUGAGAGGGCGACCGGCCACACUGGGACUGAGACACGGCCCAGACUCCUACGGGAGGCAGCAGUGGGGAAUAUUGCACAAUGGGCGAAAGCCUGAUGCAGCGACGCCGCGUGAGGGAUGACGGCCUUCGGGUUGUAAACCUCUUUCGACAGGGACGAAGCGCAAGUGACGGUACCUGUAGAAGAAGCACCGGCUAACUACGUGCCAGCAGCCGCGGUAAUACGUAGGGUGCGAGCGUUGUCCGGAAUUACUGGGCGUAAAGAGCUUGUAGGCGGUCUGUCACGUCGGUCGUGAAAACUCACAGCUCAACUGUGGGCCUGCGGUCGAUACGGGCAGACUAGAGUACUUCAGGGGAGACUGGAAUUCCUGGUGUAGCGGUGAAAUGCGCAGAUAUCAGGAGGAACACCGGUGGCGAAGGCGGGUCUCUGGGAAGUAACUGACGCUGAGAAGCGAAAGCGUGGGUAGCGAACAGGAUUAGAUACCCUGGUAGUCCACGCCGUAAACGGUGGGUACUAGGUGUGGGUUUCCUUCCACGGGAUCCGUGCCGUAGCUAACGCAUUAAGUACCCCGCCUGGGGAGUACGGCCGCAAGGCUAAAACUCAAAGGAAUUGACGGGGGCCCGCACAAGCGGCGGAGCAUGUGGAUUAAUUCGAUGCAACGCGAAGAACCUUACCUGGGUUUGACAUACACCGGAAAGCCGUAGAGAUACGGCCCCCCCUUGUGGUCGGUGUACAGGUGGUGCAUGGCUG
RNAcentral lists this ribosomal RNA (1030 nucleotides) under uncultured Nocardia sp. Its description in RNAcentral is "bacterial SSU rRNA". It matches the Rfam family "Bacterial small subunit ribosomal RNA", at positions 1 to 1051 of the family's 1533-position model. Lineage: Bacteria; Bacillati; Actinomycetota; Actinomycetes; Mycobacteriales; Nocardiaceae. The record is from RNAcentral.